Molecule: long non-coding RNA, 609 nt
Organism: Coffea arabica (coffee)
Lineage: Eukaryota; Viridiplantae; Streptophyta; Magnoliopsida; Gentianales; Rubiaceae
Source: RefSeq, a predicted model, not a curated record
UCUAUCUCGCAUCCCUCAAAGAAGAGAAGACACUCUCCAUUUUCCAUAAACUCUCGGCCAAAUAUGGAUUCCCCAAGCUGAAAUCGAUUCAUUCUCCCCUAACUCUAAGAAUAUAUGGGUUCAUACUGCAUCAGCUAGUCAAAAAAUUGUUGCAACAUCAUCAAGGGAUGGAUUGGCAUCUUCUACAUCUGUUAAGAUGCAAACAUAUGAGCCUCCUACUGUAGCAGGUUGUAUCUAACCAGUCCGUUGGUGGAAAUAAUACACCUAAUGAGAGCAAGGAUCUUCAUGACAAUGGAAAUGAAUAGUUUCACUCAUGAUGAAUGUCAAGAUAUUAAGUCAGCAUUGCUUAAGCAACUAAAUUCACAAUACCGAAGUCGGCAUUAUACAUUUGAUAAGAUCUUCAAACAAUCUGGGAUAAUGGAGGAAGCACUAGCAAAUCAUCUUGCAUAUGUGGUAGAAAAUGAUUGGAGUUUCCUUUGUAACUACUUUUGCAGUCCUGAAUUUAAGGUAAAUGGCCUGAUUGUUUUUCAAUUACUAUUUCUUAGUACCAUACAUGCUAUAUUUUGUUGAAUUUGAUUAAUCCUUUCACUUCUUUAAUGUAGGCGAUGA